GACUGCGUGCCUUUGCAUAAUGAGCCUACGAGUUGUUUCUUACCGGCGAGGUUAAGUACUUCAGGUACGUAAGCCGAAGCGAGAGCGAGUGUUAAAAGCGCGUUAAGUCGGUAUGAGCAGACGCGAAACCUAGUGAUCUACCCAUGGCCAGGGUGAAGGAGCCGUAACAGGCGAUGGAGGACCCGUACCAGUUUCCGUUGAAAAGUGCUCGGAUGAGCUGAGGGUAGGGGUGAAAGGCUAAUCAAACUGGGAGAUAGCUCGUACUCCCCGAAAUGUCUUUAGGGACAGCCUCGAUAUAGCUUCACGGAGGUAGAGCUACUGAUAGGAUGCGAGGGCUUCAUCGCCUAUCAAUUCCUGACAAACUCCGAAUGCCGUGAAGUGUUUAUCGGGAGUGAGUCAUCGGGUGCUAAUGUCCGGUGGCGA
RNAcentral lists this ribosomal RNA (423 nucleotides) under gut metagenome. RNAcentral describes it as "bacterial LSU rRNA". It matches the Rfam family "Bacterial large subunit ribosomal RNA", at positions 595 to 1014 of the family's 2925-position model. The record is from RNAcentral.